AGUGAACGCUGGCGGUAGGCCUAACACAUGCAAGUCGAACGGCAGCACAGUAAGAGCUUGCUCUUACGGGUGGCGAGUGGCGGACGGGUGAGGAAUACAUCGGAAUCUACUUUUUCGUGGGGGAUAACGUAGGGAAACUUACGCUAAUACCGCAUACGACCUACGGGUGAAAGAAGGGGAUCUUCGGACCUUGCGCGAUUGAUUGAGCCGAUGUCGGAUUAGCUAGUUGGCGGGGUAAAGGCCCACCAAGGCGACGAUCCGUAGCUGGUCUGAGAGGAUGAUCAGCCACACUGGAACUGAGACACGGUCCAGACUCCUACGGGAGGCAGCAGUGGGGAAUAUUGGACAAUGGGCGCAAGCCUGAUCCAGCCAUACCGCGUGGGUGAAGAAGGCCUUCGGGUUGUAAAGCCCUUUUGUUGGGAAAGAAAAGCAGCAGGUUAAUACCCCGCUGUUCUGACGGUACCCAAAGAAUAAGCACCGGCUAACUUCGUG
This 492-nucleotide ribosomal RNA is filed under the name uncultured bacterium. RNAcentral's name for it is "partial 16S ribosomal RNA". It matches the Rfam family "Bacterial small subunit ribosomal RNA", at positions 29 to 507 of the family's 1533-position model. The record is from RNAcentral.